Molecule: ribosomal RNA, 1438 nt
Filed under: uncultured organism
Description: SSU rRNA
Rfam family: Bacterial small subunit ribosomal RNA
Source: RNAcentral
UGCUACAGGCUUAACACAUGCAAGUCGAGGGGCAUCAGGAAGAAAGCUUGCUUUCUUUGCUGGCGACCGGCGCACGGGUGAGUAACACGUAUCCAACCUGCCCUUUACUCGGGGAUAGCCUUUCGAAAGAAAGAUUAAUACCCGAUGGCAUAAUGAUUCCGCAUGGUUUCAUUAUUAAAGGAUUCCGGUAAAGGAUGGGGAUGCGUUCCAUUAGGUUGUUGGUGAGGUAACGGCCCACCAAGCCUUCGAUGGAUAGGGGUUCUGAGAGGAAGGUCCCCCACAUUGGAACUGAGACACGGUCCAAACUCCUACGGGAGGCAGCAGUGAGGAAUAUUGGUCAAUGGGCGGUAGCCUGAACCAGCCAAGUAGCGUGAAGGAUGAAGGCUCUAUGGGUCGUAAACUUCUUUUAUAUAAGAAUAAAGUGCAGUAUGUAUACUGUUUUGUAUGUAUUAUAUGAAUAAGGAUCGGCUAACUCCGUGCCAGCAGCCGCGGUAAUACGGAGGAUCCGAGCGUUAUCCGGAUUUAUUGGGUUUAAAGGGAGCGUAGGUGGACUGGUAAGUCAGUUGUGAAAGUUUGCGGCUCAACCGUAAAAUUGCAGUUGAUACUGUCAGUCUUGAGUACAGUAGAGGUGGGCGGAAUUCGUGGUGUAGCGGUGAAAUGCUUAGAUAUCACGAAGAACUCCGAUUGCGAAGGCAGCUCACUGGACUGCAACUGACACUGAUGCUCGAAAGUGUGGGUAUCAAACAGGAUUAGAUACCCUGGUAGUCCACACAGUAAACGAUGAAUACUCGCUGUUUGCGAUAUACAGUAAGCGGCCAAGCGAAAGCAUUAAGUAUUCCACCUGGGGAGUACGCCGGCAACGGUGAAACUCAAAGGAAUUGACGGGGGCCCGCACAAGCGGAGGAACAUGUGGUUUAAUUCGAUGAUACGCGAGGAACCUUACCCGGGCUUAAAUUGCAGUGGAAUGAUGUGGAAACAUGUCAGUGAGCAAUCACCGCUGUGAAGGUGCUGCAUGGUUGUCGUCAGCUCGUGCCGUGAGGUGUCGGCUUAAGUGCCAUAACGAGCGCAACCCUUAUCUUCAGUUACUAACAGGUCAUGCUGAGGACUCUGGAGAGACUGCCGUCGUAAGAUGUGAGGAAGGUGGGGAUGACGUCAAAUCAGCACGGCCCUUACGUCCGGGGCUACACACGUGUUACAAUGGGGGGUACAGAAGGCAGCUAGCGGGUGACCGUAUGCUAAUCCCAAAAGCCUCUCUCAGUUCGGAUCGAAGUCUGCAACCCGACUUCGUGAAGCUGGAUUCGCUAGUAGUCGCGCAUCAGCCACGGCGCGGUGAAUACGUUCCCGGGCCUUGUACACACCGCCCGUCAAGCCAUGGGAGCCGGGGGUACCUGAAGUACGUAACCGCAAGGAUCGUCCUAGGGUAAAACUGGUGACUGGG